AUUGAACGCUGGCGGCAUGCCUUACACAUGCAAGUCGAACGGCAGCACGGGUGCUUGCACCUGGUGGCGAGUGGCGAACGGGUGAGUAAUAUAUCGGAACGUACCUUAUUGUGGGGGAUAACGCAGCGAAAGCUGUGCUAAUACCGCAUAAUCCCUAAGGGGGAAAGCGGGGGACCGUAAGGCCUCGCGCAAUUAGAGCGGCCGAUACCUGAUUAGAUAGUUGGUGAGGUAAAGGCUCACCAAGGCAACGAUCAGUGGCGGGUCUGAGAGGACGAUCAGCCACACUGGGACUGAGACACGCCCCAGACUCCUACGGGAGGCAGCAGUGGGGAAUUUUGGACAAUGGGGCAACCCUGAUCCAGCAAUGCCGCGUGAGUGAAGAAGGCCUUCGGGUUGUAAAGCUCUUUUGUCAGGGAAGAAACAGCAGCUCUAACACAGUUUGCGAAUGACGGUACCUGAAGAAUAAGCACCGGCUAACUACGUGCCAGCAGCCGCCGUAA
This 500-nucleotide ribosomal RNA is filed under the name uncultured bacterium. RNAcentral's name for it is "partial 16S ribosomal RNA". It matches the Rfam family "Bacterial small subunit ribosomal RNA", at positions 30 to 523 of the family's 1533-position model. The record is from RNAcentral.